GUGCCAGCACCCGCGGUAAUACACAGGGUGCGAGCGGUAAUCGGAAUUACUGGGCGUACAGCGAGUGUAGGUGGCUCAUUAAGUCACAUGUGAAAUCCCCGGGGCUUAACCUGGGAACUGCAUGUGAUACUGGUGGUGCUAGAAUAUGUGAGAGGGAAGUAGAAUUCCAGGUGUAGCGGUGAAAUGCGUAGAGAUCUGGAGGAAUACCGAUGGCGAAGGCAGCUUCCUGGCAUAAUAUUGACACUGAGAUUCAAAAGCGGGGGUAGCAAACAGGAUUAGAUACCCUGGUAGUCC
RNAcentral lists this ribosomal RNA (294 nucleotides) under uncultured microorganism. RNAcentral describes it as "partial 16S ribosomal RNA". It matches the Rfam family "Bacterial small subunit ribosomal RNA", at positions 505 to 796 of the family's 1533-position model. The record is from RNAcentral.